CUUGUCCUCCCUGUGCCGCUCGAGCUCCGCCACGAGCGGAUCGAACGGGACCGGCUCGUGGUGGUGGCGGGCGGCGGCGGCGGGGGGCUUGAAGGUGAAGUUGGACCGGAGCUUCAGGCGGCGGUGGUGGCCGCCGCGGCCAUGGCCGGCGGGGGACCGCGGGGAGCGGGAGACGAGGAGGAGGACGAGGACGGCGACGGCAAUGUAGAUGGCGACGGAGAGCUUGCCCAUCUAAAGGGGAAGCGCCGGGACCAUGCGGAGGAGAUCGGAGAUCGGAGGUCGGAGAUCGGCGGCGGCGGCGAGGGUUUUGGAUCUGGAGAGAGACAGAAGGUGUUUGACGAAAUGGGGAAGUGAGGUUUGCCUUGGGGAGCGUGCGAUUUGCGCGUUUCUGGAGGUUUUUGCAGGAUGCCGCCGGGAUCACUCCUCCGCUCUAGAGAGAGAAAGUUUCGAGAAAGAGGAGAGAGAUCUGGAAAUAUUUCUUUUUUUGGUUUUUUUUUGUUCUUCGGUUCAUUUUUAGAGUUGCAUCGUAUCAUUAUGAUUCGCGUCUUAUUAGAGAUUUAACCCAGCGAAAAAACAAAAAAUCAAUAAAGUUGGUUGUUCUCCUCAGAAAUAUUCGACAUAAACUUUAAUAGAGUUGGAAAUUUCCUAGUUUUAGUCAUAUAUUCCAUUUAAUAGUUAUAGAUGCUAAGGGGUUCGAAAGAUAACUCAAAUCAAUUUUCAUUUUUUCUAAAAUGAAAGAGAUUAGACUUGAUUAUUUUUAAAUAGGAGAAGGGGAUAUAUUUUGUAAGCGUUCCUGAGAAUGAUUCUGUUACAACAAAACAUCGUAAUCAUGUUACAUUAGAAAAUCUACUUUAAUGGGGUUAUAUUUUUUUAUUAUUUUGUGCAAUAGUCAAACAGUGAGCCAUUAUUUCAUCAACAUUUUUUUUUUAAGGUGCGUGAUUUUUGGAUAGAUCUAGCUCACAUGUAUUGAUGUGUGCUGAUGAUUUCUCCUUUGGAGAUUAGGAUUGAAUACGCGUAUGUAUAAUAGCCGAAUCCGAUAACUACAUGUAUGAAUGCAAAAUCAGAGCACACUACUCAUUUAGUAUUCUUGAGGUGCUUUUACAAAUAAAAUGUGCAUGCUGCACACAACAUUCGCUCUUUCAGGCUCAAGUGUGAGGCCCGUGCCAAUGAUAGCUUAGGUCUCUAUCAACCUCCGAGCGUGCUUAUUUACAGGUGUUAGGGAAAUUUCUACCAUCAAUUAACUAAUUACAUGUGCUGUCUUGCAUCAAAAGUCACCACUAAAAUACAUGGUCAUAGGUCGUGUCUCAUGUUCUUAAAAGAAUGGGCAAACAAGACUAGACAUAUGACCUAGAAUAAGCUUUUGAACCUUAUCCUAAGGACAAAAGAGCACGGCCUAAUUAACUGGACCCGUGAUUUAAAUCUUUCGUUGUAAAGUAGGAUUCGUAACUUAAUUCGUGGCCUCACAUGGGGCCGGCUCCGCGGCGCACACCACCUCCGGGUGGGCGUGCUCGAAGUACUCCCUCCCCCACUACUUGUCCUCCCUGUGCCGCUUGAGCUCUGCCACGAGCGGAUUGAACGGGACCGGCUUGUGGUGGUGGCGGGCGGCGGCGGCGGGGGGGGGGGGGCUUGAAGGUGAAGUUGGACCGGAGCUUCAAGCGGCGGCGGUGGUCACCACAGCCAUGGCCGGCGGGGGACUGUGGGGAGCGGGAGACGAGGAGGAGGAGAAGGACGGCGACGACAAGGUAGAUGGCAACGGAGAGCUUGCCCAUCUAAAGGGGAGGCGCUGGGACCAUGCAUGCAGAUCGGAGAUCGGCGGUGAGGGUUUUGGAUAUGGAGAAUUUAGAGAGAGGAGUUGUUUGACGAAAUCGCGAAGUGAGGUUUUCGAUGGAUU
RNAcentral lists this long non-coding RNA (1891 nucleotides) under Eucalyptus grandis. Its description in RNAcentral is "long non-coding RNA (EGRA_LNC005801)". Lineage: Eukaryota; Viridiplantae; Streptophyta; Magnoliopsida; Myrtales; Myrtaceae. The record is from RNAcentral.